Molecule: transfer RNA, 70 nt
Filed under: Duellmanohyla salvadorensis (Guerreran stream frog)
Lineage: Eukaryota; Metazoa; Chordata; Amphibia; Anura; Hylidae
Description: partial tRNA-Ile
Rfam family: tRNA
About the family: Transfer RNA (tRNA) molecules are approximately 80 nucleotides in length. Their secondary structure includes four short double-helical elements and three loops (D, anti-codon, and T loops). Further hydrogen bonds mediate the characteristic L-shaped molecular structure. tRNAs have two regions of fundamental functional importance: the anti-codon, which is responsible for specific mRNA codon recognition, and the 3' end, to which the tRNAs corresponding amino acid is attached (by aminoacyl-tRNA synthetases). tRNAs cope with the degeneracy of the genetic code in two manners: having more than one tRNA (with a specific anti-codon) for a particular amino acid; and 'wobble' base-pairing, i.e. permitting non-standard base-pairing at the 3rd anti-codon position.
Source: RNAcentral
GGAAGCGUGCCCGAAAACAAGGACCUCCUUGAUAGGGAGGGUUAUAGGGGUUCAAAUCCCCUCACUUCCU